RNAcentral lists this ribosomal RNA (790 nucleotides) under uncultured bacterium. RNAcentral's name for it is "bacterial SSU rRNA". It matches the Rfam family "Bacterial small subunit ribosomal RNA", at positions 8 to 796 of the family's 1533-position model. The record is from RNAcentral.
AGAGUUUGAUCCUGGCUCAGAUUGAACGCUGGCGGUAUGCUUAACACAUGCAAGUCGAACGGUAGCAGGCCUUCGGGCGCUGACGAGUGGCGGACGGGUGAGUAACGCGUAGGAAUCUGCCUCAUAGUGGGGGACAACGUGGGGAAACUCACGCUAAUACCGCAUACGCCCUACGGGGGRAAGCGGGGGAUCUUCGGACCUCGCGCUAUGAGAUGAGCCUGCGUUAGAUUAGCUAGUUGGUGGGGUAAAGGCCUACCAAGGCGACGAUCUAUAGCUGGUCUGAGAGGACGAUCAGCCACACUGGGACUGAGACACGGCCCAGACUCCUACGGGAGGCAGCAGUGGGGAAUAUUGGACAAUGGGCGAAAGCCUGAUCCAGCAAUACCGCGUGUGUGAAGAAGGCCUUMGGGUUGUAAAGCACUUUCAAUKGGGAGGAAAACCUACCGGUCAAUACCCGGUAGCUUGACAUUACCUWUAGAAGAAGCACCGGCUAACUCCGUGCCAGCAGCCGCGGUAAUACGGAGGGUGCGAGCGUUAAUCGGAAUUACUGGGCGUAAAGCGUGCGUAGGCGGUUCGUUAAGUCAGAUGUGAAAGCCCUGGGCUCAACCUGGGAACGGCAUUUGAAACUGGCRGACUAGAGUUUAGUAGAGGGGAGUGGAAUUUCAGGUGUAGCGGUGAAAUGCGUAGAUAUCUGAAGGAACACCAGUGGCGAAGGCGACUCCCUGGACUAGAACUGACGCUGAGGUACGAAAGCGUGGGUAGCAAACAGGAUUAGAUACCCUGGUAGUCC